AUAAAUUGAUAAGGAAGAAA
Molecule: unclassified non-coding RNA, 20 nt
Filed under: Tequintavirus T5
Lineage: Duplodnaviria; Heunggongvirae; Uroviricota; Caudoviricetes; Demerecviridae
Description: Escherichia virus T5 partial miscellaneous RNA
Source: RNAcentral